UCACUUUCAACAACGGAUCUCUUGGUUCUCUCAUCGAUGAAAAACGUAGCGAAGUGCGAUAUGUAAUGUGAAUUGCAAAAUUCCGUGAAUCAUCGAAUUUUUGAACGCAAAUUGCACUCUCUUCGGAAAGUAUGCCUGUUUGAGGGUCA
This 149-nucleotide ribosomal RNA is filed under the name uncultured Glomeraceae. RNAcentral describes it as "5.8S ribosomal RNA". It matches the Rfam family "5.8S ribosomal RNA". From Rfam's summary of the family: 5.8S ribosomal RNA (5.8S rRNA) is a component of the large subunit of the eukaryotic ribosome. It is transcribed by RNA polymerase I as part of the 45S precursor that also contains 18S and 28S rRNA. The record is from RNAcentral. Lineage: Eukaryota; Fungi; Glomeromycota; Glomeromycetes; Glomerales; Glomeraceae.